CGUGUAGGCGGCGCGCCAAGUCGGAUGUGAAAUCCCUCGGCUCAACCGAGGAACUGCAUCCGAUACUGGCGGGCUAGAGUCCGGGAGAGGGUAGCGGAAUUCCCAGUGUAGCGGUGAAAUGCGUAGAUAUUGGGAAGAACACCGGUGGCGAAGGCGGCUACCUGGACCGGUACUGACGCUGAGGCGCGAAAGCCAGGGGAGCGAAUG
RNAcentral lists this ribosomal RNA (207 nucleotides) under uncultured bacterium. RNAcentral describes it as "partial 16S ribosomal RNA". It matches the Rfam family "Bacterial small subunit ribosomal RNA", at positions 568 to 774 of the family's 1533-position model. The record is from RNAcentral.